RNAcentral lists this non-coding RNA (27 nucleotides) under Cricetulus griseus (Chinese hamster). The record is from RNAcentral. Lineage: Eukaryota; Metazoa; Chordata; Mammalia; Rodentia; Cricetidae.
AACAAAAGCAAUAGCUAAAGCAUUACC